GCACUGACUGCUAUCGGAUUGAUACUAAGCCAUGCGAGUCAUUGUAGUAAUACAAGGCAGACGGCUCAGUAACGCGUAGUCAACCUAACCUAUGGGCGGGAAUAACCUCGGGAAACUGAGUAUAAUGCCCGAUAGAACAUUAUGCCUGGAAUGGUUUAUGUUCCAAAUGAUUUAUCGCCGUAGGAUGGGACUGCGGCCUAUCAGUUUGUUGGUGAGGUGAUGGCCCACCAAGACUAUUACAGGUACGGGCUCUGAGAGGAGUAGCCCGGAGAUGGGUACUGAGACACGGACCCAGGCCCUAUGGGGCGCAGCAGGCGAGAAAACUUUGCAAUGUGCGAAAGCACGACAAGGUUAAUCCGAGUGGUUUCUGCUAAAGGAACCUUUUGUCGGUCCUAGAAACACCGAUGAAUAAGGGGUGGGCAAGUUCUGGUGUCAGCCGCCGCGGUAAAACCAGCACCUCAAGUGGUCAGGAUGAUUAUUGGGCCUAAAGCAUCCGUAGCCGGCUCUGUAAGUUUUCGGUUAAAUCUGUACGCUCAACGUACAGGCUGCCGGGAAUACUGCAGAGCUAGGGAGUGGGAGGGGUAGACGGUACUCGGUAGGAGGGGUAAAAUCCUUUGAUCU
This 621-nucleotide ribosomal RNA is filed under the name uncultured marine archaeon. RNAcentral's name for it is "bacterial SSU rRNA". It matches the Rfam family "Archaeal small subunit ribosomal RNA", at positions 20 to 648 of the family's 1478-position model. The record is from RNAcentral.